UCGUCGACCUGGCGCUUACCGGGGCUCAGGGAGUUUGCGUGCCCCCGGGGCGCGGAGGGAUCCGACCGGGGCGCGGAGGGAUCCGACCGGGGCGCGGAGGGAGACGACGUCGGGCGAGCCCGCGGAGGGAUCUGUGCCGCGUAGUGCUCUGUGCCGCGUAGUGCUGCGACCCUGCGGGCGGGCAACGAGGUCUCAGAAGAGGCUGUUGUAGCUAGAAGGCCUUAUCCCACGGGACGCUUCCAAGCAGAUCCCUGAAGAGGCUAGAGUCGGCUCUCCUCAAGUCCAGGGACGUGAGCUUGCGUUUUACCCUCCUCCCUCCUCUCGGGAUCCUGAACUCCACCAUCUCACGGUCACUGCAGCCAAGGCCGCCUUUGACCUUCGCAUCCCCAACGAGCCCCUCCUUGUCGGUCAGUAGGAGGUCCAGCAGAGCACCUCUCCUCGUUGGCUCCUCUAUCACUUGGUGAGAACAAUCAUCCACUGGAACAGCCUCCCCAGGGAUGUGGUAGAGUCCCCAUCGCUAGAGGUUUUCAAGGUGCGAUUGGACAGGGUGCUAGAUAAUCUCAUCUAGGCUCCCUUUCCCACAAAAGGAUGGACCAGAUGAUCUUUCAAGGUCCUUUCCCACCUGGGCUGCUCUAGGAUUCUACGAUUCUUCAGUGGAUCACUGUUUAAUAAUAACCCUUUGCUCGCUCUGGUUUGGAGCAAAGUAUCGGCAACGUUGCCUGCGAGGCGAGACGUGAAUUCCACCAGGCGCCACAGGCUUCUAAAACCUAUGGUAAUCGCCCAGUCUCUCUGAAUGUAUAAGACUGUCGUGGUUUCAGCCCAGCCGGUAACAAAGCACC
Molecule: long non-coding RNA, 839 nt
Organism: Aquila chrysaetos chrysaetos
Lineage: Eukaryota; Metazoa; Chordata; Aves; Accipitriformes; Accipitridae
Exons: 3
Source: RefSeq, a predicted model, not a curated record